Salvia splendens (bonfire salvia) is the source of this 101-nucleotide small nucleolar RNA. Lineage: Eukaryota; Viridiplantae; Streptophyta; Magnoliopsida; Lamiales; Lamiaceae. The record is from RefSeq and is a predicted model, not a curated record.
UGUUUGUGAUAGUGUUUUCUUAUCCCCAGACAUGAAAACAGGAUUUUAAUGCUUGUACCCCAUAAUAUAUGGUGCCCAAGUUUGGCUAUUCUGUGACAUUU